This 75-nucleotide ribosomal RNA is filed under the name Pelobates cultripes (western spadefoot toad). Its description in RNAcentral is "SSU_rRNA_eukarya". Lineage: Eukaryota; Metazoa; Chordata; Amphibia; Anura; Pelobatidae. The record is from RNAcentral.
CCUAUUAACUUUUGAUGUUACUAUCAGCGCCUACCAUGGUGACCAUGGGUAACGGGGAAUCAGGGUUUGAUUCCA